Cavia porcellus (domestic guinea pig) is the source of this 1738-nucleotide long non-coding RNA. RefSeq lists it as uncharacterized. The record is from RefSeq and is a predicted model, not a curated record. NCBI's taxonomy places the organism in Eukaryota, Metazoa, Chordata, Mammalia, Rodentia, Caviidae. The transcript has 3 exons.
UUAGCUUGUCAGUCUGUCAAAUUUCAGGAAUUCAAAAUCCUUAAAAUGAAAACUGACCAUGAAGUCGGUCAGUACAGUUAAAUCAGGAAUGUUCUGUGGGAAGUAUUUCUGCCCUCUGGGGGUGAACUGACAAGUGAGAGCCUUUGCGGAGCUAGGGGCAGGCAGACAUGAAGUGUUUUGUGCUUCAUGCAUGUGCAUCUCAGUCCUCCUCUCCGGUAAAAGGCCCGUGUCCACUCAACCCAAAUGACUACCAAGCAGGCAGGCCCUCUGCCUGAUGCAGCAACGGGACAGAGUAGCCCUCCAGGUAGCUGUCACGGGAUACGACCUCAAACUCACCAUCCUGCUGUGAUUUCUUUAAAGCCUCAGAAAGAAAUAUGGAUAAUGAAGGAGCACCUGAAGGGUAAUCCACAGAGCCCCUUCAUUCAGGAUAUUACAGACGUCACCUUGAACGAACAAGAUGGCCAGCCAAGUGUGGGUGGAGACUACUCUGUCUUAUAUCCCUCCCAGAAAACUUGCUUUAAACAUAGACAAGAAGAAUAGUCAUUUACAUUUAUUAAGGAUUUAAAAUGUACUUAAAAAUGGGACUUGUUCAAUCUUCUCAGCGACCUGAAGCAUUUGGAGUGUGUGUGUGUGUGUGUGUGUGUGUGUGUGUGUGUGCGCGCGCGCGCGCGCGCGCACGCGUGCGUGCGUGCAUUUAGGUGUCUCCAUUUUACGGGAGGAAACCAAAGCACAGAGUGGCUAAAUAAUCUGCCCAAGGGGAGGGGCAGAGCUGAUAUGUGAAAUCAGGUUCUCAAGCAUUUUAAUAUGAUACUCUUGGUUUUCACUGAAAGGACACUAUCAGUCUUACUUUUACUUACUUAAUUUUUUUCUUUUUGCAGGGAGAAGUUUGGGAAUUGGACCCAGGACCUUCACAUUGAGCUAUAUUCCUAGCCCUUCUAAAAUUGUUUUUUGUUUUGUUUUUAAUUUGAAGAUCUCACUAAGUCACUAAGUUCCCUAGGCUAGGCUCAAACUUGCAGUCCCUUUGCCUGGGAUUACAGGUGUAUGCUAUUCAUCCCACAUUUUCUGACAAAGCAUCAUUAGAAGCAUGAGUGCAGGAGUGGCACUGUGUGCUGGAGAGACUCAGACGGCGGCGCGGGCUCCAGCUCUGGCCUUCACUGCCUGCUACACACCCUGAGCAAACCCAUUACAUUAAAAUACAAGAAAAGAAGAUGCCCAUUUCUCCCUGAUCAAUUUUAAAACAGCUCUUAAUGGCCAGGACUGCUGAAAGUUCAAAGUAGACUGAAUGAUGAUCUUCUGAAUGAGAGGGAGUUGGGAGCUGCUGUAAUGAGUGCCGAGAAGACCAGCUGAGACAAUGCACAUGGAAAUGCUCUAACCUACUUGUACUGGAGGAUUUGGACACUGGGACUAAAAGCCAGAUUCUGCCCGUCACAGAGCCUGCUGCCAGGCAACUUCUUCUUCUUCUUCUUCUUUUUUUUUUUUUUGUCUUUUUCAUUUUUAUCGGUACCAUGGAUCGAACUCACGACUGCCUGCUUGCAAGGCAGGAGGCGCUUAUGCGGCUGAUCUAAAUCCCCAGCCCCCCAGGCAACUUCUCAUCAUCGUCUAUACAUUUGCCAAAAUGUAUUCCAAAGAACACUACAAAGAAUGUUUCCAAAGCGCUGAAGAAGCAAACUUAAGGAAUGCAUGUAAUGUCCUUUCCCAUUCUAAACCAAUAAAAAUCCUUCUUUGAUGCACAUUACAA